AUGCUUCAAUAAGGUCACUUUCCAUAAAUUAAUUUCUGCUGCGCGCAUGGGUUCAAUAUAUUUGUGGCGCUAGCAGUUUUAGAUGGAAUGAAUUAGACAUACUUUAGUCGCGUGUAUCUAAACCAGUCUGGAAUAUAAUUGAAAGCCAGCGACUAUUGAUAGGCUUUGAAUAAAAUCACAAGUCAUGCAGAUGAGAUGUUAUCCGCACAAAUUAGCUGGUUUGUGCAUAGGCCUCUGCUGUUGCAAAGGUUUUCCUCAUGAAAGAGUUCUUGCAAUGAUAACAUGGGCUUCUUUGGCUUUCCUUGAAGCUUCCAAACAUGAAUUACAUAUGGAGUCUGCUACCAAUGGACAAAAUAAGGGAGGUCACACAACACAUCUUCAUCUAAGAACAUGAAAAUGGUGACUAGAACAGUGGAUCUUAGAUCUGAUACUGUGAUGUGAUGCGAGCUGCCAUGGCUAACGCUGAUGUGGAUGAUGAUGCCUUAGGAAAUAUCCUACGGCAUUCCGAUUAGAGUCUAAGGUGGAAAAGGUUAUGGGUAAAGAAGUUGCAGCGUUUGUAUUUUAUGGGACCAUGGGGAACCUCAUAGCCAUUUUUGUCCAUUGUGAGAUAAGGGGAAGUGAGGUUAUCCUUGGUGAUGACUCACACAUUCAUGUUUAUGAGAAUGGGGGUAUUUCA
Dendrobium catenatum is the source of this 676-nucleotide long non-coding RNA. RefSeq lists it as uncharacterized. The transcript has 5 exons. The record is from RefSeq and is a predicted model, not a curated record. NCBI's taxonomy places the organism in Eukaryota, Viridiplantae, Streptophyta, Magnoliopsida, Asparagales, Orchidaceae.